GCAAACUUGGUCAUUUAGAGGAAGUAAAAGUCGUAACAAGGUUUCCGUAGGUGAACCUGCGGAAGGAUCAUUAACGAGUUUGACAUGGGUUGUAGCUGGCCUUCCGAGGCAUGUGCACGCCCUGCUCAUCCACUCUACACCUGUGCACUUACUGUAGGCUCCGGGGUGCUUGGUGGGCUUUUGCUCGCCUGGUCGUCGGGUCUACGUUUAUUACAAACGCUUCAGUAUCAGAAUGUGUAUUGCGAUGUUAACGCAUUUAUAUACAACUUUCAGCAACGGAUCUCUUGGCUCUCGCAUCGAUGAAGAACGCAGC
This 313-nucleotide unclassified non-coding RNA is filed under the name uncultured fungus. RNAcentral's name for it is "partial contains small subunit ribosomal RNA, internal transcribed spacer 1, and 5.8S ribosomal RNA". The stretch from base 1 to 73 matches the Rfam family "Eukaryotic small subunit ribosomal RNA", at positions 1759 to 1831 of the family's 1831-position model. The record is from RNAcentral. Lineage: Eukaryota; Fungi.